CAAAAUGGAGUCCUUGAGGACCUGCUCCAUGAUUUUUCCAGGGACUGAGGGCCCCCAGCUGCCAUUAACUGUGUUCAGUGUCGCGGGACUGAAUGGAGGAAUGAGCUGGAUCAGCUUGGCAAAGAAGGGAGCUGGACACGGAUCUGCCGUCUCCCAUGAACAACAGACCUCCUUCCGCUGGGCAAGGGGGCAGCACCUUGCGGGUUAAACCUCCAGCACAGGGCAGAGCUGGCAUGUUUAUCGUAACAGCAGCUAGGGAAAGAGGAAAAGCAACAAAGUCCUUUGGCUCACAGGGUGAUCUGAGCCCUGAGCCUUUAGCUCCCUUUACAGCUUCAAGCAAUCACUCUAAUGGGAGGCAACUAGCCCAGAGGAGGCUACAGAGACAUUUCAUGAUGCAUAGAGAUAAGGCAUUUGUGGCGACAUCGUUAACCUCUUGGGUUCAGACCAAAUAUUGCAAAAGUCCAUUAAUUUUGCAGUGUUGUUUGUGCUUCGGGUGUUAAAUUCUCUUCUCUAAGGGGCGGACAGUGCUGUAUUUUGGCAUGACACACACGGCAACGGCUGGCAGGACAGGGGGUGUUUCCCCUCCACUCCUGCACCAGCUGUGGGGCACCAUCUUCCUAAAUAGCAACGCUACAAAUCUUCCUGGUUUACCCAUUGCCUUUCUGAACAAGACCCUUCCCUGCCUCUCUGGAACACACCUCAAGGUAAAAUCCUCCAAUAUGAGAACACCCAAACUCCCUCCCAGAUACCGCACGCCAAACCUCCUGCUGCACCUCAACCCCCGUCCCGUCCCUGGCCCCACCCCGGAGCCCACCCCACCAGCUGGAGCUGCCCCCCCUCCCACACUCCCAUCCCCUGCCCUGGCCCUGAGCCCACUCUUCUACUCCAAGCCUCCAGGAGCCCCACAAAAUCUAAUAGCCCACAGGAGAGUGAAUCUGGCUCUUUCUGCACUCUGUUAUUUGUUAAUUUUUUUAAUCAAUUGGUGUUAUUUAUUUUUUAAGUGUCCAACUCUACUAAAAAAAGUCAGUCUGGAAUAUUUCCGUCAAUAUGUAACAUUCCCCAGAGCAUCAAUUCCUAAUAAAAUCAAAACUGCAACAUA
This is a long non-coding RNA of Chelonia mydas (Green sea turtle), 1099 nucleotides long. RefSeq lists it as uncharacterized. The transcript has 2 exons. NCBI's taxonomy places the organism in Eukaryota, Metazoa, Chordata, Testudines, Cheloniidae. The record is from RefSeq and is a predicted model, not a curated record.